CAGAAUUACAGUAUAUACAGAUAUGCGAUACAGAUGUACAGUUUUGUGCAAAAUGGAAGUGUAUUUUGUGCAAAUGAAAAUUAGAAGGGAUGUACAGAGGUAGAUAAUAAAUAGGUUUAUAAUAUAUUUAUGUUGUAGUCACACUGUAUGAACAAUUAAAAGACCCUAUUGGCAGUUUUAACUGUUCGGGUGGAAGUUUGCCUGAUGGAAAAAGCUGUUCUUGUGCCAGGCUAUUCGGGUGCUCAGUGCUCUGUAGCGCUGGCCAGAGGGCAACAGUUCAAAGAGAAAGUGAGCUGGGUGUGUGGGGUCCAAAGUGAUUUUCAUAGCCCUUUUUUUCACUCUGGAGGUGUAAAAUUCUUGGAGGUUUGGCAAAAGGGCACCAGUAAUUCUUUUAGCAGUCCUGACUGUCAGUUGUAGUUUCCUUCUGUUUGAUUUGGUGGCUGAACAGCUGAACAGUUUUAAAACAGCCAUGAAUUGGUAAUAAUAAUAAAUGUGAGGAUGCUGAGGACAAUUAAUUUGCUAGUAACUGUUUUGCAGUAUGUGUACACAUAAUCAUUGUGUCAAGUUUGGUUUAAUCAAGGCAAGAAAAGGCAAGGAUCUGACUGCAGCAGUCUUUUAUUAAGAAAAACAAAACAAAACACAAGAACAAUGCAAGCCAACUUAAACAAUGAUAAGUACAGACAAUCACAGGUAGAAAACAAGGAACAAAUCAGUAACUAUUACAAUUAAUGAAACAGGAACCAAAGGGAACAGAAAUACAACUACGCAACAGUACCCCCUUCCGAAACGUGGCUGCUGACACCUACAUAGAACAGGAAAAACAACAAGGAACAGUUCAGGUGGGUGAUGUCAGGAAGGAGGGCCAGGGCCAUGGAAGGGGAAUAACUCUGUUCCCAGGUGGAGAUGUCCAUGGAGGAGAAGUUGGAGGAAUGGACCACAGCGGAGCUGGUGGGGGAAAUCAUGGCGGAACCGGCAGAGACUUACAAAGCAGAGACUUAGGCGGUGCAGUACAGGGUGGAGCCAGGGAGAUGGAGAACUUGGGUGAAGGCAAUGGACCGGAGGCCCAAGGUGGAGCCAGGGGAUCCAAGGACCAAGGCGGAGCUGGGGGCUGGGAAGACUAAAUCCUUGUUAGACUGUCAGUCCAUUUAAUAGAGGUAAAUUAAUUAAAUAUUUCACUAAACAGUAGGAGUAUUGCACUAAGAGAGGCCUUGGAAAGCAUUUAACUGUUCAGGAAACUGUUCAAAACUAUUCUUCUGCAGUACUGUACUUGCUGGCCUUCUAGGCUCAGAGGAUCCAGAGUGCUUUGAAUUAAAGUUUUGCCUAUACAAAUACAUGUACAAAUAAAAUUGUACUUAUUAAACUUUUACGAAUUGCAGAGUCAAUUACAAUUAAUCUAUUCAGAAAGUUACUUCUUCAUUCAAGAUUUACCACAUUAGGAAAUGCGUACUUCUCCGUGACAUCCUUUCACCUAUAUGAGGAACGAAACCAUGGCAUUCGUUCCUCAUAUUCAAUGAUCGCUAACAAGGCUGGCUCACACUUUUAUGACCAGUUGAGAUCACUCAAGAUGAGUUUCUUCACUCUAAGUGCUUUCAUGAUAUAUUUGUUCAUAGGUGCUGGAGAAUCAUGCACAAAAAUUACAGAGAAUCUGCACUACUCAUGCAUGGGAAGAAACCUCAGCUCCAUACCACCAUGUAUUCCUUCAUCUGUUCAAACUCUGGAUUUCAGUUUUAAUGUUUUGAAACACUUACAGAAGACUGUAUUCCCAGUUUUGUCUUUUCUGCGAGUUCUUGAUCUGUCAAGAUGCCACAUCAAGCACAUUGAAAAUGAUGCUUUCUACAAUGUGAAGAAUUUGACUACUUUGAUUCUCACUGGAAACCCUGUUACAUAUUUUGGACCUGGAUGCUUGAAUUCUUUACAUAAUCUACAGAGACUAGAUCUUGUGGAUGUUGGUCUUGCGUCCUUACCGCUUCAAAUGAAUAACCUAACCAAGCUACAGGAACUUAGAGUUGGAACAAAUAACAUCCAGUCCGUGUCUCUCCCUCCAUUCAUGAGCUCCUUUAAAGAGUUCAGUUUACUUGAUCUACAUGCCAAUAAUAUAUCCAUCAUCAAAACUGAUCACACAGUUGUGUUGCGAAAGAUUGGCAGAAACAUGACUUUGAUUCUCUCUAGGAAUCCAUUAUUAUACAUUGAACCAGGAGCUUUCAAAGAUGUUUAUCUCAGACAGCUGGAUGUCCGAUCUGCCUUUGUUUCAUUUGCAGCUCACAGUGUUGGUCUAAAAGCUCUAUAUGGUCUUAAUGUCAAAAGGCUGAUGUUUGGAAAUAACAGGGAUGAUUAUAAGAUUUUCCCACCAGAUUCAGACUAUUUAGAUGGCCUUUGUUCUAUUUAUUUUCAUGAGGUAUAUUAUUACAUAAAAGAAAGGCCUAGUGGGCAAAUUAAUAUCUUUCGCUGUAUGAUUAACGCCACAAUUAUAGCUGUGAAGGGUGGUCUAAUUCGUGGUAUUCCGUAUGUGACAUUUAAUAAAAUUAAGGAGCUUUACUUGAUUCAAAAUCAGUUAGAUACUGUGCCAGGUAGACUACUUUCACAUCUUCAUACCUUUAGAAAAAGUAGUAUUUACACGCAACGUUGCAACCCAAGUUGAAACCUUUAUAGACAUGCCUAAGCUUCAGUACCUGGAUCUGAGUUCAAACCAAAUUACAUUAUCAUCAUGCUGCACAGAAGUUUUGUUGAACACCCCUCAAAUCAGGUAUCUAAAUUUGAGUUUGAAUCCACAAAUCUGUCUUUCUUUUGAAGCAUUUGUUGGACUUGAUUCCCUUGAAAUUCUAGAUUUCCAUCAUACAAGGGUUGUAAGUAUGGGGCACCUUUCAAUUUUGUCAAACUUAAAGUAUUUGAGGUAUCUGGAUGUUUCUUAUUCAAGUAUCAUCUUUACUAACAUAUAUUGCUUUUAUGGACUGAGCAGUCUUAAUGUUCUCAAGAUAGCUGGCAGUAAUUUUCAGGGUGAUGUAGUAAGAUAUUUAUUUAACAAUCUCACAGUUCUAGAGCACCUUGACAUGUCAUACUGUCGUAUGGUAGAGGUACACUCGAGCUCUUUUAAAAAUCUUCAAAGCCUUAGACAUUUGAAUCUCAGAGGAAACAAUUUAAUGGCUAUAGAUUUUCUUACCCACUCAAACCUGAAACAAUUAACAUCAUUUUAUGUCGAUAAAAACAGCAUUACUAGCAUCCCACUUGAUGUUCUCCAAAAGCUGCCAACAAGCCUUUCAGAGUUUGAUUUGUCCUCCAACCCCAUCGAUUGCUCCUGUUCCCAGACAGAUUUUAUUUUCUGGAUUAUCCAAAAUCAGAACAUUUUGAAGCAACCAGGAAAUAUUUUCUGUAAAUCUUUUUCACCAAGCUCAGAUUUUAGAGCAACAGACUUUGACAUUGACAGCUGUGUGCACAAGAAAAGACUCGCAAUCAUUUUAUCAGUAUGUUUUGUUACAUUAGUAGUCGUGUUAUCAGUCUUGGCUUAUAGGUUCCAGUUUUAUCUUCAGUAUUGCUGUAUUCUACUGAGAGGCUACAGAUCACCUGGACAACAAGAGUGUUCCUAUGAUGCAUUUGUGAUUUUCUCCAGCUAUGAUGAAGCCUGGGUCAUGAAUGAACUGAUGGAGAAUCUGGAGAACGGUGUUCCACCUAUUCAUCUUUGCCUUCACAUGCGGGACUUUCAAGCAGGGAAGUCCAUCGCCUCCAACAUUAUCGAUGAAGGAAUAAUGGGCAGCCGUAAAGUCAUUGUGGUUGUGUCUCAACACUUCAUUGAUAGCGCCUGGUGUCGCUUUGAGUUUGAAUUGGCUCAGUCCCGGUUUAUGAUGGAACGCAAUGCCAACAUCAUCAUCAUCAUUCUGGAAGAUGUGGAAGAGAGGAAGACUAAGAAAGUGUUUGGUCUUCAUAAGCAUCUGAAAAGGAACACAUACCUGAAGUGGAGCAGGGACCCUUUGAGUAACAUGAGAUUCUGGAUACGGCUCAGGAGAGCUAUUAUUUCCACAAAGCAAUAAUAUUACAUAUUCUAUGGAUAUAUUAUAUGUUUUGAAUAAAUAAACUUUUGCACAAAU
Molecule: RNA transcript, 4079 nt
Organism: Ctenopharyngodon idella (grass carp)
Lineage: Eukaryota; Metazoa; Chordata; Actinopteri; Cypriniformes; Xenocyprididae
Gene name: toll-like receptor 4
Exons: 3
Source: RefSeq, a predicted model, not a curated record